GAUGAACGCUGGCGGCGUGCCUAAUACAUGCAAGUCGAGCGAACAGAUAAGGAGCUUGCUCCUUUGACGUUAGCGGCGGACGGGUGAGUAACACGUGGGUAACCUACCUAUAAGACUGGGAUAACUUCGGGAAACCGGAGCUAAUACCGGAUAACAUUUGGAACCGCAUGGUUCUAAAGUGAAAGAUGGUUUUGCUAUCACUUAUAGAUGGACCCGCGCCGUAUUAGCUAGUUGGUAAGGUAACGGCUUACCAAGGCAACGAUACGUAGCCGACCUGAGAGGGUGAUCGGCCACACUGGAACUGAGACACGGUCCAGACUCCUACGGGAGGCAGCAGUAGGGAAUCUUCCGCAAUGGGCGAAAGCCUGACGGAGCAACGCCGCGUGAGUGAUGAAGGGUUUCGGCUCGUAAAACUCUGUUAUUAGGGAAGAACAAAUGUGUAAGUAACUGUGCACGUCUGGACGGUACCUAAUCAGAAAGCCACGGCUAACUACGU
This 496-nucleotide ribosomal RNA is filed under the name uncultured bacterium. RNAcentral's name for it is "partial 16S ribosomal RNA". It matches the Rfam family "Bacterial small subunit ribosomal RNA", at positions 28 to 506 of the family's 1533-position model. The record is from RNAcentral.